AACGAACGCUGGCGGCAUGCCUAACACAUGCAAGUCGAACGAGACCUUCGGGUCUAGUGGCGCACGGGUGCGUAACGCGUGGGAACCUGCCCUUAGGUUCGGAAUAACUCCCCGAAAGGGGUGCUAAUACCGGAUAAUGUCUUCGGACCAAAGAUUUAUCGCCUUUGGAUGGGCCCGCGUUGGAUUAGCUAGUUGGUAGGGUAAAAGCCUACCAAGGCGACGAUCCAUAGCUGGUCUGAGAGGAUGAUCAGCCACACUGGGACUGGGACACGGCCCAGACUCCUACGGGAGGCAGCAGUGGGGAAUAUUGGACGAUGGGCGAAAGCCUGAGCCAGCAAGGCCGCGAGAGUGAUGAAGGCCUUAGGGUUGUAAAGCUCUUUUAACCGGGAUGAUAAUGACAGUACCGGGAGAAUAAGCGCCGGCUAACUACGUG
RNAcentral lists this ribosomal RNA (433 nucleotides) under uncultured bacterium. RNAcentral describes it as "partial 16S ribosomal RNA". It matches the Rfam family "Bacterial small subunit ribosomal RNA", at positions 29 to 507 of the family's 1533-position model. The record is from RNAcentral.